Molecule: ribosomal RNA, 1343 nt
Filed under: uncultured bacterium
Lineage: Bacteria
Description: 16S ribosomal RNA
Rfam family: Bacterial small subunit ribosomal RNA
Source: RNAcentral
GACGAACGCUGGCGGCGUGCUUAACACAUGCAAGUCGAACGGAAAGGCCCUGCUUUUGUGGGGUGCUCGAGUGGCGAACGGGUGAGUAACACGUGAGUAACCUGCCCUUGACUUUGGGAUAACUUCAGGAAACUGGGGCUAAUACCGGAUAGGAGCUCCUGCUGCAUGGUGGGGGUUGGAAAGUUUCGGCGGUUGGGGAUGGACUCGCGGCUUAUCAGCUUGUUGGUGGGGUAGUGGCUUACCAAGGCUUUGACGGGUAGCCGGCCUGAGAGGGUGACCGGCCACAUUGGGACUGAGAUACGGCCCAGACUCCUACGGGAGGCAGCAGUGGGGAAUAUUGCACAAUGGGCGGAAGCCUGAUGCAGCAACGCCGCGUGCGGGAUGACGGCCUUCGGGUUGUAAACCGCUUUCGCCUGUGACGAAGCGUGAGUGACGGUAAUGGGUAAAGAAGCACCGGCUAACUACGUGCCAGCAGCCGCGGUGAUACGUAGGGUGCGAGCGUUGUCCGGAUUUAUUGGGCGUAAAGGGCUCGUAGGUGGUUGAUCGCGUCGGAAGUGUAAUCUUGGGGCUUAACCCUGAGCGUGCUUUCGAUACGGGUUGACUUGAGGAAGGUAGGGGAGAAUGGAAUUCCUGGUGGAGCGGUGGAAUGCGCAGAUAUCAGGAGGAACACCAGUGGCGAAGGCGGUUCUCUGGGCCUUUCCUGACGCUGAGGAGCGAAAGCGUGGGGAGCGAACAGGCUUAGAUACCCUGGUAGUCCACGCUGUAAACGGUGGGUACUAGGUGUGGGGUCCAUUCCACGGGUUCCGUGCCGUAGCUAACGCUUUAAGUACCCCGCCUGGGGAGUACGGCCGCAAGGCUAAAACUCAAAGGAAUUGACGGGGCCCCGCACAAGCGGCGGAGCAUGCGGAUUAAUUCGAUGCAACGCGUAGAACCUUACCUGGGUUUGACAUGGAUCGGGAGUGCUCAGAGAUGGGUGUGCCUCUUUUGGGGUCGGUUCACAGGUGGUGCAUGGCUGUCGUCAGCUCGUGUCGUGAGAUGUUGGGUUAAGUCCCGCAACGAGCGCAACCCUUGUACACUGUUGCCAGCACGUUAUGGUGGGGACUCAGUGGAGACCGCCGGGGUCAACUCGGAGGAAGGUGGGGAUGACGUCAAGUCAUCAUGCCCCUUAUGUCCAGGGCUUCACGCAUGCUACAAUGGCUGGUACAGAGAGUGGCGAGCCUGUGAGGGUGAGCGAAUCUCGGAAAGCCGGUCUCAGUUCGGAUUGGGGUCUGCAACUCGACCUCAUGAAGUCGGAGUCGCUAGUAAUCGCAGAUCAGCAACGCUGCGGUGAAUACGUUCCCGGG